RNAcentral lists this transfer RNA (78 nucleotides) under Alphaproteobacteria bacterium. Its description in RNAcentral is "tRNA-Pro". It matches the Rfam family "tRNA". From Rfam's summary of the family: Transfer RNA (tRNA) molecules are approximately 80 nucleotides in length. Their secondary structure includes four short double-helical elements and three loops (D, anti-codon, and T loops). Further hydrogen bonds mediate the characteristic L-shaped molecular structure. tRNAs have two regions of fundamental functional importance: the anti-codon, which is responsible for specific mRNA codon recognition, and the 3' end, to which the tRNAs corresponding amino acid is attached (by aminoacyl-tRNA synthetases). tRNAs cope with the degeneracy of the genetic code in two manners: having more than one tRNA (with a specific anti-codon) for a particular amino acid; and 'wobble' base-pairing, i.e. permitting non-standard base-pairing at the 3rd anti-codon position. RNAcentral also lists the same sequence under 2 other names. Lineage: Bacteria; Pseudomonadati; Pseudomonadota; Alphaproteobacteria. The record is from RNAcentral.
CGGAGUGUAGCGCAGCCCGGUUAGCGCACUAGUCUGGGGGACUAGGGGUCGGAGGUUCGAAUCCUCUCACUCCGACCA